RNAcentral lists this transfer RNA (31 nucleotides) under Taeniatherum caput-medusae. RNAcentral's name for it is "partial tRNA-Trp". The record is from RNAcentral. Lineage: Eukaryota; Viridiplantae; Streptophyta; Magnoliopsida; Poales; Poaceae.
GAUGUCGUAGGUUCAAAUCCUACAGAGCGUG